UUCAGUCAAACACUCUUAACUCACGUUGAUUUUCAGCCCACACACAACUCACACACACUAACACCUAAAACACACACACCAUUCACGCAUAUACCAUUUUUAGCUUGAGCUCAAGCUUUUGAGCUCCGAUUUGAGCACCGAGAUGAACGCCGAUCAUCUUUUCGAUCACGUAUCUAAGUAGGUCCUUUUGGGAAGUAACGACUUGAGGGAGAGAGUGACGUUACUCAUUGAUACAGAGACACAACGAGGUUGAGCUGAUGUGAUGAUGGUGCUGCAAUGAGCGGAGUCUCCAGGGUUGUUAAUAAAUAGUUAACCUGUCUAGAAUAUGUCUUCAUACAUAUGUCUAGCUACUUUCCGCUGCAAGAUGUUGUUGAUGUUAUAGUAUGUUAUGUCAUACUUUGAGUCUUAAGAGAAUGGUUUCAUACGAUGUAUAACUUGAUUAAUGAUAUUAAUUAAGUUUUAUGCUGUCUUUCAUAGACUGUUUUCAAUUGAGUAUUAAUGAAUAAAAAUGACGAGUUUUAUUAA
Molecule: long non-coding RNA, 525 nt
Organism: Salvia miltiorrhiza (redroot sage)
Lineage: Eukaryota; Viridiplantae; Streptophyta; Magnoliopsida; Lamiales; Lamiaceae
Exons: 3
Source: RefSeq, a predicted model, not a curated record